AUGACGCAUUCUUCAAGGACAUUUCCUGCCCAAUUUCUGUUCCUUUAACUGAUGGGACACAGAAAGCCAAGUUAUCGGUCCUCUAGCAAGGCCCUCUGAGCCUUGGCCUUGGUACUGAGUGGCCAGAUGUGGCUCUCCAGUUGCAGGUGAAGUCAGCUCUGUCCCCCGGAGGGAGGUGUGCCUGUUCAGCCUUGUGCUCUGG
Molecule: long non-coding RNA, 202 nt
Organism: Suncus etruscus (white-toothed pygmy shrew)
Lineage: Eukaryota; Metazoa; Chordata; Mammalia; Eulipotyphla; Soricidae
Exons: 3
Source: RefSeq, a predicted model, not a curated record